Molecule: non-coding RNA, 330 nt
Organism: Chrysemys picta bellii (western painted turtle)
Lineage: Eukaryota; Metazoa; Chordata; Testudines; Emydidae
Source: the annotation of a RefSeq genome assembly
AUGACCCCCAGCCUGGCCAUCGCCUUCCUCCUGCUGCUCCCAGCGGGUGUCUAUUCCCAGGUCAGCCUGGUGGAGUCCGGUGGGGGAAUCAAGAAGCCUGGGGAGACCCUCAGACUGACCUGCACCGUGUCCGGAUUCUCUCUCACUAGCUACGCGGUGCACUGGGCCGCCAGCCAGCGGGGAAAGGGCUGCAAUGGAUGGGAGGUGGCGGUGCGGCUGCGGGACGGCGCGGAGAACACGGCCCCCUCCCUGAGCUUCGUGGCACUGCUGGUGGCCAAGGUGGAUCAGUUCGUGCUCACCGCCCUCACCCCCGACAUGCUGGCAGCCUAG